This 530-nucleotide ribosomal RNA is filed under the name Rossbeevera cryptocyanea. RNAcentral's name for it is "SSU rRNA". It matches the Rfam family "Bacterial small subunit ribosomal RNA", at positions 356 to 954 of the family's 1533-position model. The record is from RNAcentral. Lineage: Eukaryota; Fungi; Basidiomycota; Agaricomycetes; Boletales; Boletaceae.
CAAGAAUAUUAGUCAAUGCUCGAAAGAGUGAACUAGCUAACUGAAAUCUUAAUUAUACAAAUAUUAAGAUAAGGUAAGAGAAAAUAAUGAUAUUAUCUUACUAUUAGUGUCGUCUAAAUUUGGUGCCAGAAGACUCGGUAAGACCUUAGACACAAACGUUAAUCGUCAUAAUCAGGCGUAAAGGGUGUGCAGGCGGCUUUAAAAUUUAAUAAAGCUAGAAUCUAAAAGAGGGUAAGCUAAACAACAUAAUUAAUUAGGACUGACAACUUAUAAUAAUGUGGAGUACUAAAGGUUAAAGCUAUUUAUCUACUUAAGAUUGACGCUCAGAAACGAAGGGGAGAAUAAGAAACUUAGAUUAGAUACCUAAUUAUCUCUCUCAGUCAACGAUGAAUGGUAGUUAUUAAAACAAACAAAUUAGUAACGAGGUUAACACGAUGACCAUUCCGCCUUGUUAGUAAGACUGCAAAGUUGAAAACAAAAAAAUUAGUCGGUCUUGAAGCAAACGAAGUGAAGCAUGUUAUUUAAUUCGA